CAGUAGCCACGGUAAUACGUAGGGUGCGAGCGUUAAUCGGAAUUACUGGGCGUAAAGCGUGCGCAGGCGGUUAUAUAAGACAGAUGUGAAAUCCCCGGACUCAACCUGGGACCUGCAUUUGUGACUGUAUAGCUAGAGUACGGUAGAGGGGGAUGGAAUUCCGCGUGUAGCAGUGAAAUGCGUAGAUAUGCGGAGGAACACCGAUGGCGAAGGCAAUCCCCUGGGCCUGUACUGACGCUCAUGCACGAAAGCGUGGGGAGCAAACAGGAUUAGAUACCCGGGUAGUCCCUGUCUCUUAUAC
RNAcentral lists this ribosomal RNA (301 nucleotides) under uncultured bacterium. RNAcentral's name for it is "partial 16S ribosomal RNA". It matches the Rfam family "Bacterial small subunit ribosomal RNA", at positions 509 to 807 of the family's 1533-position model. The record is from RNAcentral.